CUGUCUUCCAUGAUGUCAAAGCUGCUGUUGGUCUAGAUUCACUAAAGAAGCUUUGUUUUCUUGAUAGAUGAUGUCCCCUUCACUAUGCCAUGUCACACCAUCUGCAUAGUCUUCCAAAAGCUCUGCACAUCAGUAUCCUUCAAACCAAAUGGAUCAUUAUUGUAUUGAAGUGUUUACAGAAGUAGAAGAUUUAAAUCCGUAUCAGUUUUAUCAUUAAUCUGGCAAAUUAGUUGAUUCAUGAUCAUUCCAUUCACAUCUGAGUCUUCUGAAAAGGGAGCACCGUUUUGAAGAGUUUAAGCUGAAUGAUGUAGAUUUUAAAUUUUCCACUUGCUCUCUAAUUCCAGGCCUUCCAAAAUCUUUUUAAACUCAUUUUACUUGAUGUGACCUAGAAUUAAAAAAAAUAACAUGUCAAAAAA
Long non-coding RNA from Symphalangus syndactylus (siamang), 416 nucleotides. RefSeq lists it as uncharacterized. The record is from RefSeq and is a predicted model, not a curated record. Lineage: Eukaryota; Metazoa; Chordata; Mammalia; Primates; Hylobatidae.